RNAcentral lists this ribosomal RNA (253 nucleotides) under uncultured bacterium. RNAcentral describes it as "partial 16S ribosomal RNA". It matches the Rfam family "Bacterial small subunit ribosomal RNA", at positions 524 to 776 of the family's 1533-position model. The record is from RNAcentral.
UACGUAGGGUGCAAGCGUUAAUCGGAAUUACUGGGCGUAAAGCGUGCGCAGGCGGUUUUGUAAGUCUGACGUGAAAUCCCCGGGCUCAACCUGGGAAUUGCGUUGGAGACUGCAAGGCUAGAAUCUGGCAGAGGGGGGUAGAAUUCCAUGUGUAGCAGUGAAAUGCGUAGAGAUGUGGAGGAACACCGAUGGCGAAGGCAGCCCCCUGGGUCAAGAUUGACGCUCAUGCACGAAAGCGUGGGGAGCAAACAGG